This 117-nucleotide small nucleolar RNA is filed under the name Salix viminalis (osier). RNAcentral's name for it is "small nucleolar RNA snoR126". It matches the Rfam family "small nucleolar RNA snoR126". Lineage: Eukaryota; Viridiplantae; Streptophyta; Magnoliopsida; Malpighiales; Salicaceae. The record is from Rfam by way of RNAcentral.
AGGCUGUGAUGACUGAUUUCGUUUCUCGAUCCUGAAUAUCUCAUGUUAGCUCUUAUACGGACCCAAGUGAGAGCUAAUUUCUCAUUUGUUGACAGUAUUUGUGCGUGUCUGGGCCUU